UUCCAAUAUCUUCUAAUAAUC
This 21-nucleotide non-coding RNA is filed under the name Caenorhabditis elegans. Lineage: Eukaryota; Metazoa; Nematoda; Chromadorea; Rhabditida; Rhabditidae. The record is from RNAcentral.